Molecule: ribosomal RNA, 162 nt
Filed under: Terrisporobacter glycolicus
Lineage: Bacteria; Bacillati; Bacillota; Clostridia; Peptostreptococcales; Peptostreptococcaceae
Description: partial 23S rRNA. Bacterial LSU
Rfam family: Bacterial large subunit ribosomal RNA
Source: RNAcentral
AAAGGAUAAGCGCUGAAAGCAUCUAAGCGCGAAGCCUACUUCGAGAUAAGAUUUCCCACCGUAAGGUUAAGACCCCAUGAAGACUACAUGGUUGAUAGGUCAGAGGUGGAAGUGUGGUAACAUAUGUAGCUUACUGAUACUAAUAGGUCGAGGACUUGACCA